This 282-nucleotide long non-coding RNA is filed under the name Phaseolus vulgaris (common bean). RNAcentral's name for it is "long non-coding RNA (PVUL_LNC002666)". Lineage: Eukaryota; Viridiplantae; Streptophyta; Magnoliopsida; Fabales; Fabaceae. The record is from RNAcentral.
ACAGACUCAUACAUAGGAAUUUCAGUGGAGAUUGAUGUGUGGGAUGUAACACCCCAUAAUUUACAUAUAACUAUUACAAUAUCAGUUCUACCAGUUUCUAUACAAACUUGGAGUUUUUCAAAAUAUUCCUAAUACAUGAUUAGGAUUUAUAGAAAUACAAAUAUUUACAUAUCCACAACUCAAAAUAAAACUCUGAAACCUCUAAGGCUCUCCUGCACCUGUAUGGUCAUUUGCUCGUGUACAAAGUACAGUCAUCGCAGUUUAAACACAACACAAAAAGCA